This is a long non-coding RNA of Betta splendens (Siamese fighting fish), 1351 nucleotides long. Lineage: Eukaryota; Metazoa; Chordata; Actinopteri; Anabantiformes; Osphronemidae. The record is from Ensembl.
GUCUCGUUUUGAUUCUAGUCUCUGGUUUAUUUUGUAGUACUUCCUGUUUAUACUCUGAUCACAGCUGUUGUUCCUGUCACUACCGGUUCUCAUUAGACACACCUGACAAUAAUCAGUAAUCCGCGUCUGUAUAUAGUCUCCACCUCACACACUCUCUAGUUGCCAGAUUGUUUGCGUGCAUUCACAAUCAUCCAGCAUUUUGUUCUUGUCCCGACCUGUGGUUCUGAUCUUGUUUUGCCUGCCGUUACCGAGUCUUGCCUGAUCCCUGCCUGCAUCGUCUGCUGAACCUGUCUGGUAAAUACCCUGCCUGUCUUAUGAUUACGAUUCUGCCUGAUCCUGAUCGGUACUGCUAUCUCUGCCUACACGGUUAACGAACCAUGUUUGUCCACGGAACUGAGCCUGCCUGAACCCUUGUGUUGAACAUUUUUGCUUACCCGUGAAUGACCCUGCCUGACUCUGCAUUUCUGGAAUAAAUCCCUUUUUGUAACAUCCAAAGCUAUUUUUUGCCGUGCAUGUGGAGCUGCCAUCUAUGACGUUCUGACACUCAGUGUGCGCUCUACCAUAGUAGGUGGCGGUAAUGCACCUUUCAGUGUGUUGCCACCUGCCAUUUAAAAGACAAAAGAAGAAGUCACUCACUGUGACAUGAAUUGACAUGGGGCCAUUCAGAAAGUGCUCCUUUGUUGGUUGUUCCAACCAGCAUUGCAUCUUUUUUAUUUCACCAGUGUAACAAGAAAGGAGAACUUUAUGGAUAAAAUUUUUUGUAAAUGGGCUGGUGCCGGCACCGCUGACUAAAUGCUUAUUUUUGUGUGGACACCAUUUCACCUCCGUCUGCUUUGAAAUCAAGGGUAUAUUUAUUACUGUGCUUGAGGUUGAAGAAGCGCUCCAUUCCUACAAGACGUGAUCCACUUGCUGCUUCCCCAAAUACUGACGCAUCCCAACUACCGAAACGCGAGGAGGUUGCUUCUCAAACUGACGCCACUGCAGGCUGUGGAGACACGCGGCUACCUUGUAGAAGAGUUGCUGCUCACCUCAGGAGCAACGGUAUGCACAUUUAACAGCAGUGUAAUCAUUUGUUGGCCAAUAUGCAGUUUUAUUUGACAGAGAUUUUGGAUUUCACAUUUCAGUAGUUGUAGUAUUCAUAAUCUGAUCUAUAUUUUUGUCUAUAUAUUUACUCUGUAUGCAGUUGAUCAACAUUUGAUAUUUUAGUCUUUUUAUGGGUAAUUUGUAAUUCUAAUGUUAUGGUGCAGAUUAUGUGGAAAAGCUGAUGAACAGCCACAGGUGCGUUUGAUGACAGAGAGACAAUUUAUGUCUUCCGACCCUGGACCGAAGCAAACUGCACAGAAGUGUGCAA